Molecule: ribosomal RNA, 453 nt
Filed under: uncultured Thauera sp.
Lineage: Bacteria; Pseudomonadati; Pseudomonadota; Betaproteobacteria; Rhodocyclales; Zoogloeaceae
Description: bacterial SSU rRNA
Rfam family: Bacterial small subunit ribosomal RNA
Source: RNAcentral
AAGCGGUGGAUGAUGUGGAUUAAUUCGAUGCAACGCGAAAACCUUACUACCCUUGACAUGUCUGGAACCUUGCUGAGAGGCGAGGGUGCCUUCGGGAGCCAGAACACAGGUGCUGCAUGGCUGUCGUCAGCUCGUGUCGUGAGAUGUUGGGUUAAGUCCCGCAACGAGCGCAACCCUUGUCAUUAGUUGCCAUCAUUUAGUUGGGCACUCUAAUGAGACUGCCGGUGACAAACCGGAGGAAGGUGGGGAUGACGUCAAGUCCUCAUGGCCCUUAUAGGUGGGGCUACACACGUCAUACAAUGGCUGGUACAAAGGGUUGCCAACCCGCGAGGGGGAGCCAAUCCCAUAAAGCCAGUCGUAGUCCGGAUCGUAGUCUGCAACUCGACUACGUGAAGUCGGAAUCGCUAGUAAUCGCAGGUCAGCAUACUGCGGUCGAAUACGUUCCCGGGCCUU